AUCCAGUCCGGUAAGGUAGAGCAAGCCGCCGGUAUCGAGACCUUGGAGUGCGUAGGCUAACGAAGCAUUUAAGCGUAGGUCAGAGAGCAGAGAAGCCGUAAUGCGAAAGCGUAAAGUGAUAGAGCUCCGUAAUAAAAUCGAUUGCGUGGGAUGGUCGUGUACCUCUAACGGUCACCAACAAGGAACAGUCGUUAAGCGAGACUGUGAAAACACGCCGGAGUCCAAGAGC
This 229-nucleotide non-coding RNA is filed under the name bovine gut metagenome. The record is from RNAcentral.